This 117-nucleotide small RNA is filed under the name Marmota monax (woodchuck). The record is from RNAcentral. Lineage: Eukaryota; Metazoa; Chordata; Mammalia; Rodentia; Sciuridae.
GUCAGGCAGAGUGGUGUGUCCCUAUAGUCCCAGCUAGGUGAGAGGCUGAGGCAGGAGGAUGACUUGAGCCUAGGAGUUCAAGGCCAUCCUAGGCAACACAGUGAGACCCUCUCUCCU